RNAcentral lists this ribosomal RNA (484 nucleotides) under uncultured bacterium. Its description in RNAcentral is "bacterial SSU rRNA". It matches the Rfam family "Bacterial small subunit ribosomal RNA", at positions 28 to 526 of the family's 1533-position model. The record is from RNAcentral.
GACGAACGCUGGCGGCGUGCUUAACACAUGCAAGUCGAACGGUGAACCCCUUUCGGGGGGGGAUCAGUGGCGAACGGGUGAGUAACACGUGGGCAACCUGCCCCCGGCUCUGGGAUAACUCCAAGAAAUUGGGGCUAAUACCGGAUGUGACCGCUGACCGCAUGGUCUGGUGGUGGAAAGGGUUUCCGGCUGGGGAUGGGCCCGCGGCCUAUCAGCUUGUUGGUGGGGUAGUGGCCUACCAAGGCGACGACGGGUAGCCGGCCUGAGAGGGUGACCGGCCACACUGGGACUGAGACACGGCCCAGACUCCUACGGGAGGCAGCAGUGGGGAAUAUUGCGCAAUGGGCGAAAGCCUGACGCAGCGACGCCGCGUGGGGGAUGACGGCCUUCGGGUUGUAAACCUCUUUCAGCUCCGACGAAGCGGAAGUGACGGUAGGAGCAGAAGAAGCACCGGCCAACUACGUGCCAGCAGCCGCCGUAACAC